AUAACUUUAUAUAUAGUUCAAAUUAUCUAGUUUCUUGUAAUGUAGUUAUAAGCUUCCAAAUAAAUGAUAAAUAAUUGUUGGUGAAAAAAAUUGAAUUACGCUAAAUCAAUGAUAAUCGGUUUGGAAGAGCUGGAUUGCAUCAUAAUUUGACUUCUUUAUUUCAGUACUGAUUUCCACACCUGUGUAAAAAAUUGUAGGAACGUGCAUAAAUGCCACGCUGCAUGCAGAUUUUAUAAUAGCUUCUUUCUCCGCAAGCGUUAAUGAGAAGAAUGGGCGUCGUCAAUUGGUUGCCUCUUCACUUUCUCUCUCAACCUUUCUCUUUCCAGGCGCAUAUUCUAUGCUUAUGUGGGUUAUAUAAAAGAGAAAUCGAUGGCUCAAAUUUUCUCUUCGCUAAUGUGUUGACCUGUCCGCCCGUUUUUUUCCUCUUUGUUCUACUCUGAUUGAGAUUCCUCAACGUAGAAAUUUGCGACGAUGGGCGGGGUUCAUUUUCAGUAAUCGACGUCCAUGGGAAAAUAAACAAAUGUGCUCUGUCUACUCGAUGUGUUUGAAUGUUGAAUGAGCUACUUAGUCCUAACACGACUAUCUUCGUCCAACUUGUUGGAUCUAUUAACCAAUUUGAACAUGUCAAUUGCACUUUUUUUAGUGAUUAUGAAUCAUUUACACAAACCUUCAUUACACCGUCACUCACAUCCCUUAUUACUCCAAUUACUGCAAUUAUCAUUUCUUCAUUUUUCUAAGAUUAAAUUGCAUCAUUACUUUUAUAAACACUUGGCUCCUUGUUAAACACUAAAAAAACUUUUUUAAUAUAUUUCUUCUACAAAUAAAUUCGCAUUUUAAUUUAAAAAUUAACUUUAAUUAAGAACAGAUUAAAUGUUUUACAUUAAAAGUAAUAGUCUAAAGGAAACUUUUACAGAAAAUAUUAAGGUUAUUUGACUGUUGCAUGUUCUGUACCAGAAGUUAUAUAUAUUAAACGAUGCUGUCCAGUUCUAUUCGUCUUUUUCCAGACAGUUUUUUUUCUGUCUUUUUUCCCCUCCCGACGUGCACGUUAGACGGCUGGCCAAAUAGCCCGUAUUUUUAGCUUGUAUUCUCCGGGGCUGGGAUCAAAGGGUUGAAUGCCGGGGGGGCUCGCUAUGAUAGACAUCCGUCGGCCGACUGUUCGAGUUGAACCUUGAGAAUCGCAGUUACCCUCUCGUCUCGGACGUGCAGUGAGAAGGGGGAAUAUUACCCGGAUUUCUGAUGUAUGAGCAGUGAUGGUAUACAAUCUCUCUAAAAGCUGGAUAGUGCAUGAAGUUUUACAUUCAAAUGAAAAAAUAAUAAAUAUAUUUUUUAUUAGAUAACAUAUAUAUAUAAAU
RNAcentral lists this long non-coding RNA (1352 nucleotides) under Androctonus crassicauda. Lineage: Eukaryota; Metazoa; Arthropoda; Arachnida; Scorpiones; Buthidae. The record is from RNAcentral.